RNAcentral lists this small RNA (94 nucleotides) under Salmonella enterica subsp. enterica serovar Montevideo. RNAcentral describes it as "partial RtT sRNA". It matches the Rfam family "RtT RNA", at positions 36 to 130 of the family's 130-position model. Rfam says of the family: This family represents a bacterial cis-regulatory element known as RtT RNA. The record is from RNAcentral. Lineage: Bacteria; Pseudomonadati; Pseudomonadota; Gammaproteobacteria; Enterobacterales; Enterobacteriaceae.
CCGCAGGUUUGGGUCUCACGCAGUGAGACAACGGAGCCGCUUGCGGCGACGGCCCGAAGGGCGAGCGAAGCGAGUCAUCCUGCACGACCCACCA